This 77-nucleotide transfer RNA is filed under the name Kiritimatiellia bacterium. Its description in RNAcentral is "Kiritimatiellae bacterium (gut metagenome) tRNA-Arg". It matches the Rfam family "tRNA". Rfam says of the family: Transfer RNA (tRNA) molecules are approximately 80 nucleotides in length. Their secondary structure includes four short double-helical elements and three loops (D, anti-codon, and T loops). Lineage: Bacteria; Pseudomonadati; Kiritimatiellota; Kiritimatiellia. The record is from RNAcentral.
GCCCCAGUAGCUCAUCUGGACAGAGCAACUGCCUUCUAAGCAGUGGGUAGCAGGUUCGAGUCCUGCCUGGGGCGCCA